Molecule: ribosomal RNA, 467 nt
Filed under: uncultured bacterium
Lineage: Bacteria
Description: partial 16S ribosomal RNA
Rfam family: Bacterial small subunit ribosomal RNA
Source: RNAcentral
GACGAACGCUGGCGGCGUGCUUAACACAUGCAAGUCGAACGGAAAGGCCUCUUUCGGGGGGUACUCGAGUGGCGAACGGGUGAGUAACACGUGAGUAAACUGCCCUUGACUUUGGGAUAACUUCAGGAAACUGGGGCUAAUACCUAAUAGGAGCUCCUGCUGCAUGGUGGGGGUUGGAAAGUUUCGGCGGUUGGGGAUGUACUCGCGGCGUAUCAGCUUGUUGUUGGGGUAGUGGCUUACCAACGCGUUGACGGGUAGCCGGACUGAGAGGGUGACAGGCGGUACAGAGACUUAGGUGCGGCCGAGACGCGGACGGGAGGAAGAAGGGGGAAAGAUUGAACAAGCGGUGGAGGCUGGAUGAAGCAGGGCCGCGGGUGGGAUGACGCUCUUCGGGUUGAAAAACGCUUGCGCUAAUGACGAAGCUUGGUGUGACGGUAGUGGGUAAAGAAGCACCGGCUAACUACGUG